GCAAGAUUAAAACUCAAAGGAAUAGACGGGGACCCGCACAAGCGGUGGAGCAUGUGGUUUAAUUCGACGAUACGCGAAGAACCUUACCUGGCCUUGACAUAGACAGAAUUUUCCAGAGACGGAAAAGUGCUAGUUUACUAGAACUGUCAUACAGGUGCUGCACGGCUGUCGUCAGCUCGUGUCGUGAGAUGUUGGGUUAAGUCCCGCAACGAGCGCAACCCUCGUGUUUAGUUACUAACAGUUCGGCUGAGGACUCUAGACAGACUGCCUGGGUAACCAGGAGGAAGGUGAGGACGACGUCAAGUCAUCAUGGCCCUUACGGCCAGGGCUACACACGUGCUACAAUGGGGUAUACAAAGGGCUGCAAUACGGUGACGUGGAGCAAAUCUCAUAAAAUAUCUCCCAGUUCGGAUUGAAGUCUGCAACUCGACUUCAUGAAGUUGGAAUCGCUAGUAAUCGUAGAUCAGCAAUGCUACGGUGAAUACGUUCCCGGGUCUUGUACUCACCGCCCGUCACACCAUGGGAAUUGAAUUCAUUCGAAGCGGGGAUGCUAAAAUAGCUACCUUCCACAGUGGAUUUAGUAACUAGGGUGAAGUCGUAACAAGGUA
This 608-nucleotide ribosomal RNA is filed under the name uncultured bacterium. RNAcentral describes it as "bacterial SSU rRNA". It matches the Rfam family "Bacterial small subunit ribosomal RNA", at positions 888 to 1498 of the family's 1533-position model. The record is from RNAcentral.